This 356-nucleotide long non-coding RNA is filed under the name Homo sapiens (human). Its description in RNAcentral is "HSALNT0035727". Lineage: Eukaryota; Metazoa; Chordata; Mammalia; Primates; Hominidae. The record is from RNAcentral.
ACAGUUCUGGAGGCCACAAGUCCAAAAUCAAGGUGUGGGCAGAAAUGCGCUCCCUCUGCAGACUCUUGGGGAGGAUCCUUGCUUCUUCCAGGUCUGCGACUGUGGUUCCUGCAGCCACUGGAACCAGCUCUGCACAGCUCAGACCUGAGUGAUGAGGACACAGCUUCGCAGCAGCUCCUGAAUGUUCCGGAUGAGCUCGGCUUCCUGAGGGAGGAGACGCCCUGAGCACCAGAGCCAGUCCCUGGUGAGGAUCCCAGGAGGCCCAGCUGCACAAGGAGUUGAAUGCCGGGCCUGAGCUCUGACUGGGGCCUUCUGUGGGCUGCUGGGAAGGUCCCUCAGCGGCAGUUCCCACGCCC